UGUCGCAAUCCGUACAGCUCAGCUCAGCUCAGCUGCUCAAUCAUCGGGGUAGCCAAGUAGGCUCCACGCUUGCGCUCUCUCUCUCUCUCUCACACACACACUCCUCCAUCGCGCAGGCUUGUUUUCGCACCUUGUCAGUGUAAUCAACCUUGUUCACAUGAGUAACACAAGAUCGUUGAAUUUUCGUGGCUCAAAAGCAAAGCAAGCCAAUAAAAAGCCGCGCCAUCAUUGUUGUUCUUUCUUUUGUCUCUUUGUCGUUCUCCUAACACCACUAUUACGGGACACUAAUUAAUUAAGUAAUUAAUUCUUUCGUCCUCGUGCCUACAAAUCUCGAAAGGCCGCCUAUUAAGGUAUUUAGCAAAACGUGGAUGUUUUUUGUUAGUUUGUGAUUUGAAAGAUACAAGAGGGAAGAUCUUUUCGAAAGGAAUCAUAUAUUUCAGGUGGUGGGGUCACCGGAGUCACUUCUAAUGUUAUAAAUGGAGGGUUGGGUUUGAUUUCUGGUGGAAUUUGGUGAUUGAUAGAUUCAUGUCUAUUUCUGCUUCGUAUUCCAUCCUCACAGUUUGCAAGGAUGCAGCUGGAAUCGCCGGGAACAUCUUUGCUUUUGGGUUAUUUGUGUCGCCCAUACCCACUUUCAGAAGAAUUAUCAGAAAUGGGUCAACAGAAAUGUUCUCAGGCUUGCCCUAUAUUUAUGCCCUCUUGAAUUGCUUGAUCUGCAUGUGGUAUGGCACGCCUCUCAUAUCUCUUGAUAAUUUAAUGGUCCUGACGGUUAACUCAGUUGGGGCAGUCUUUCAGUUUGUGUACAUAAUCCUCUUUGUGAUAUAUGCAGAGAAAAACAGAAAGGUGAGAAUGAUUGGAUUACUGCUGGUUGUUUUGGGGUUAUUUGCAAUCAUAGUAUUUGGAAGCUUGCAGAUAGCUGACCAUGUAAUGCGCCGGAUGUUUGUGGGAUUCUUGAGUGUUGCUUCUCUUAUUUCAAUGUUUGCCUCUCCUCUGUUUAUAAUUAAACUGGUGAUUCGGACAAAGAGUGUGGAGUUUAUGCCAUUUUAUCUUUCGCUAUCAACCUUCUUAAUGAGUGCUUCAUUCUUUCUUUAUGGAUUGCUCAAUUCUGAUGUGUUUGUUUAUGUACCCAAUGGAAUAGGAACAUUAUUGGGAAUAGUACAAUUAGCUUUGUACUACUACUACAAGGGUGCAUCUAGAGAAGAGUCCAGAGAACCCUUGAUAGUGUCAUAUGCAUGAACAGUUCAAAUGACAAAAUAAGGUAAAGUAAAAUACACAAUAAUUGUCAUUGAGAUCUCUGGCUUUUGUAGGCCCUUUUUUCUUCAGUUCAGAGGUUGUUAUCUGCAGUACAAGCGGCUUGUUUUCAUGAUAAUCGAUGAUGAGUUGAAAUGUAUGUUGGGGAUUUCUUCAGCGAGUACAUUCAUGGCUUUAGAUUAAUGAAGUGUGUCUGUUCCACUUAAGAAAAGCAAUGAUGUAACAUUCUCUGUGGUGAAGAGUGAUUUUUACUAUUUCAGCACUCUCAUUUUUAUGAUCUUCACUUCAGGGAUUCCCCCCCCCCUUUCUAGUUGGCACAAUGUGACAAAGAUAGAAUUUUCAUGAGGUUAAAAUAUUCUAGAAGUUUCCGGAAUGAACCAGGACAAUCAAGAAAACCCCGGAGUCUUCUGGAAUACGCCGUUCUCUUAGCCUCUUUGCCUACUUGUGGGAUUCGGCUGACUUAGCAAAGAUCAAGAGAGGGAUCAAGCUAAGGCCGGCACGGUUUAAGGGAAGGGAGUUUCAAGGCCGUGACAACAAGCUAAUAAUCAUGCUCAUGAAAUGAGGGAUGAUAUAUUUUCAAUUUGAUUGACGACAGUAAAUUCCACCUGGAUGCCUGAAACUAGGAACUGGGCUCCUCUGCUAAUCGAAAGACCUAUUUCCUUAUAUAUAUAUAUAUAUAUCCUCUCCAAUCUCUCAUUAUACUAUCAUAAUUGAGAUGUUGUCUCAUUUGCAAAUUUUUGAAGAAAAGGUCCUAUAAACAUCAGUUACUUUUGUCUGUAAUCACAUAUUGCCUUGAUCAUCAAGAGCUCUGAGUUCAAUUCAGACUCUGACGUUUCUGCUUCUUUGAAUGCUUAUUGUAAAAUUUGGAUUGGGGGCUAGUACUGUUCAAAACACGCGUGGUAGGGUGAUGUGAAUUAGUUCCAGUAAAUUUGCAUGAAGGGUAUGAUCUGUGAAAAAAUUGAGUUAUGUAUAUGGAGAUGAGUACGCUAAAUAAUAGUCUAUUGCUUCGUUUUUCA
Prosopis cineraria is the source of this 2264-nucleotide RNA transcript. It is a transcript of the gene named bidirectional sugar transporter SWEET2-like, with no coding region annotated. Lineage: Eukaryota; Viridiplantae; Streptophyta; Magnoliopsida; Fabales; Fabaceae. The record is from RefSeq and is a predicted model, not a curated record. The transcript is spliced from 7 exons.